CUCACACUCUGCCCACUGACUAAUGUCAACAGUGUUAUCUGAGGCUGUCUUUCAGCAGACAUCGUUCCAUUUCACCGAGCCUUACAGGCUUACAAUACAAACUUGAACAGUCAGGAUGUUUCACUGCAAAUCUUUACAGAAGUGCUCUUCGACUGAUAGUCAUUGUGGAGGAAAAGAAACAAAUGCUGAACUAGGAGGCAACUUGGGGUUUUAAUAUGUUCCUUAAGUUUGCAUCCUCCCACCUUCCCUGGAUGAAAACCACUGGUGAUGUGAUUUAAUUCUUUUGGCUGGAUAGACAUUUUCUAGCUAAGAUCUCCAGGGAAAAGUUUGAGGGAUCACGAGAGAUGGAUGAAUCAUGAGGAAGGGGAUCUACAUAUUUCUGACCAGCUCAGAG
RNAcentral lists this long non-coding RNA (394 nucleotides) under Homo sapiens (human). RNAcentral describes it as "HSALNT0109874". Lineage: Eukaryota; Metazoa; Chordata; Mammalia; Primates; Hominidae. The record is from RNAcentral.